UAGGGAAUCUUCCGCAAUGGACGCAAGUCUGACGGAGCAACGCCGCGUGAGUGAAGAAGGAUUUCGGUUCGUAAAACUCUGUUGUUAGAGAAGAACAGCGCAUAGAGUAACUGUUAUGCGUGUGACGGUAUCUAACCAGAAAGCCACGGCUAACUACGUGCCAGCAGCCGCGGUAAUACGUAGGUGGCAAGCGUUGUCCGGAUUUAUUGGGCGUAAAGCGAGCGCAGGCGGUCAAUUAAGUCUGAUGUGAAAGCCCCCGGCUCAACCGGGGAGGGUCAUUGGAAACUGGUUGACUUGAGUGCAGAAGAGGAGAGUGGAAUUCCAUGUGUAGCGGUGAAAUGCGUAGAUAUAUGGAGGAACACCAGUGGCGAAGGCGACUCUCUGGUCUGUAACUGACGCUGAGGCUCGAAAGGGUGGGUAGCAAACAGG
This 429-nucleotide ribosomal RNA is filed under the name Bacteroidota bacterium. RNAcentral describes it as "Bacteroidetes bacterium partial 16S ribosomal RNA". It matches the Rfam family "Bacterial small subunit ribosomal RNA", at positions 355 to 776 of the family's 1533-position model. Lineage: Bacteria; Pseudomonadati; Bacteroidota. The record is from RNAcentral.